Molecule: ribosomal RNA, 271 nt
Filed under: uncultured soil bacterium
Lineage: Bacteria
Description: partial 16S ribosomal RNA
Rfam family: Bacterial small subunit ribosomal RNA
Source: RNAcentral
AGAAUCAACGCUGGCGGCGUGCCUAACACAUGCAAGUCGAACGCGAAAGGGGAGCAAUCCCUGAUUAGAGUGGCAAACGGGUGAGUAACACGUGGGCGACCUGCCUUCGAGUGGGGGAUAACCUUCCGAAAGGAGGGCUAAUACCGCAUGAUAUGCCGUGUUUGGAUACAUGGACAUCAAAGCCGGGGAUCGUAAGACCUGGCGCUUGAAGAGGGGCCCGCGUCCGAUUAGCUAGUUGGUGAGGUAACGCUCACCAAGGCUCCGAUCGGUA